UGCCAGCCGCCGCGGUAAUACGAAGGGACCUAGCGUAGUUCGGAAUUACUGGGCUUAAAGAGCUCGUAGGUGGUUAGAAAAGUUGGUGGUGAAAUCCCAAGGCUUAACCUUGGAACUGCCAUCAAAACUUUUUAACUUGAGUAUGAUAGAGGAAAGUGGAAUUUCUAGUGUAGAGGUGAAAUUCGUAGAUAUUAGAAAGAACACCAAUUGCGAAGGCAACUUUCUGGAUCAUUACUGACACUGAGGAGCGAAAGCAUGGGUAGCGAAGAGGAUUAGAUA
Molecule: ribosomal RNA, 279 nt
Filed under: uncultured bacterium
Lineage: Bacteria
Description: partial 16S ribosomal RNA
Rfam family: Bacterial small subunit ribosomal RNA
Source: RNAcentral